Long non-coding RNA from Asparagus officinalis (garden asparagus), 259 nucleotides. RefSeq lists it as uncharacterized. The transcript has 2 exons. NCBI's taxonomy places the organism in Eukaryota, Viridiplantae, Streptophyta, Magnoliopsida, Asparagales, Asparagaceae. The record is from RefSeq and is a predicted model, not a curated record.
UGUGAUUUCUCUUUUAAAGAUAAAGAUGGAAGCUUCUCGCUUGUAGACUGAGGCUCACUACAUCCAUCAUGUGAAGCAAAUGAUAUAUCAUCACUGAAUCUGUUGAGGGUGAUAUCAGAUCAAGAAGGAAAUCCAAUUGAGGAGCUCAAUGCUGGUAGAAUUUGCGACUGGUUCUUGAAAGACAAGCUCAAGAGGGAGCAGGACUUUGAGUCUGCAGUCCUUCAAUGGGAUGAUUCUAACUUCCAUAUCUAAGUAUUGC